CAGCCGGCCAGCCUGCCUCCUCCCUGCCUGGGGUGCUGUGCCUUUGGGUGGGGUCCGGACAUCAUACCAGCCCUCGUCUCCUGGCCGCUUCACCAAGGAGACCACCCAGAAGAAUUUCAACAAUCUCUAUGGCACCAAAGGUAACUACACCUCCCGGGUCUGGGAGUACUCCUCCAGCAUUCAGAACUCUGACAAUGACCUGCCCGUCGUCCAAGGCAGCUCCUCCUUCUCCCUGAAAGGCUAUCCCUCCCUCAUGCGGAGCCAAAGCCCCAAGGCCCAGCCCCAGACUUGGAAAUCUGGCAAGCAGACUAUGC
Molecule: small RNA, 314 nt
Filed under: Pan troglodytes (chimpanzee)
Lineage: Eukaryota; Metazoa; Chordata; Mammalia; Primates; Hominidae
Description: processed transcript
Source: RNAcentral